RNAcentral lists this unclassified non-coding RNA (401 nucleotides) under soil metagenome. RNAcentral's name for it is "partial contains 5.8S ribosomal RNA, internal transcribed spacer 2, and large subunit ribosomal RNA". The stretch from base 1 to 122 matches the Rfam family "5.8S ribosomal RNA", at positions 35 to 154 of the family's 154-position model. The record is from RNAcentral.
GAUGAAGAACGUAGCGAAAUGCGAUACUUGGUGUGAAUUGCAGAAUCCCGUGAACCAUCGAGUCUUUGAACGCAAGUUGCGCCUCAAGCCAUUAGGUUGAGGGCACGUCUGCCUGGGCGUCACAUAUCGUUGCCUGAUGCCAGUUUCCUCGUGAUGGGUGACUGUGCAGGGCGAAUGAUGGCUUCCCGUGAGCAUUGUUGCCUCAUGGUUGGUUGAAAAUUGAGUCCUUGGUAGGGAGCGCCGUGAUAGAUGGUGGUUGAGUGACGAACGAGACCCAAUCAUGUGAGACCCCUACCGAAUUUGGCCUUCAUGACCCACAUGCGUCUUUGGAACGCUCAUGACGAGACCUCAGGUCAGGCGGGGCUACCCGCUGAGUUUAAGCAUAUCAAUAAGCGGGAGGA